Molecule: long non-coding RNA, 1030 nt
Organism: Papaver somniferum (opium poppy)
Lineage: Eukaryota; Viridiplantae; Streptophyta; Magnoliopsida; Ranunculales; Papaveraceae
Exons: 3
Source: RefSeq, a predicted model, not a curated record
UUUUCUUUCACACAAUUUAUUCAUGAAUACUUGGAUGAUGGUGAAAAAGAAAAAAGAACAUUUCGUUUCAUUCUUUUUUGUUUUUUUCUUUUCACAGUAAAGUCGACGAUGAUGAGGAAGAAAAUGGUGGCUAUUACUGCGCGCAGUUCUGUUGUCCUAUAAAAGCUUACUAGAUUGCACAUUUUACAUCACAACCGAAGAAAAAUAACUCAAAGGAUAAACAAUUUCAGUAUUUAAUUCCGGAAUCACCAAUCUCGAGCCGCGGCCCUCUUUGAAGGCGGAGAUAAUGUCAUAUCAAGAUAAUAACAAUGGAAAGAAACAAAAAAAAGGAUAAGGAGCGAAGUACCUUUUCGUCCACGGACGACCAGCAGUAUGGCAGCGUAGAGGGAUUGGCUAAGAAGACAGAAGAAAGUAACGAAGGAAAGAAGGAGAAGAAAGAUAAAUGGCACAUUUCUGGUAACAACUCCGAGCCAUCGGAGGAGCAACAAACGGGAGUAAUUAAUCAGAACAUAAGAUUUGAUCAGUAUGAUGAACAGAAGAACAAAAAGGACAAGAAAAGUCGUGGUUAGUUAGCGAUGCAUUUAGAUUAUUACAAAUUUUUACUAGUAUUAUACACAUACAUACACACAUAUUUCACAAGAAGAAGAAAAACAUACAUGCAUACACACGUAAUAUCAACAGCAUACAGACUCAUUUUCCGAGACACUAUCUUCUACAUGCAAAAAGCAAUAAUCUAGGUCAGAGUCUGAUGCAUAUUUUUCAUGUGAAAACAAGGUUGUUAUAAAAGGGAUUUAUCUUGAUACUGUGGUGUCCAAAUCCAAUUAGGGGUAGUUUGAAUUGGGUUUUUAUCUCUUGAAACUCCUUGGAAGUCCUUUGGGUGGUCUAAGGUGCUAGUUCUAGGUUUUGAGUGGUGAAUCUACACUCUAAGGUUCAACUUUUCUCUGUUUUAGGGCUGUUUGUAACCUGCCUUCUUUAAGCUUUUUUGCAAUAUAAUUUGGUACUUAUAAUUUUUAUAUUUUUGUCGAGGAAA